CCUACGGGAGGCAGCAGUGGGGAAUAUUGGACAAUGGGCGCAAGCCUGAUCCAGCCAUGCCGCGUGGGUGAAGAAGGCCUUCGGGUUGUAAAGCCCUUUUGUCCGGAAAGAAAAGCUCUAGGAUAACACCCUGGGGUUCUGACGGUACCGGAAGAAUAAGCACCGGCUAACUUCGUGCCAGCAGCCGCGGUAAU
This 194-nucleotide ribosomal RNA is filed under the name uncultured Lysobacter sp. RNAcentral's name for it is "partial 16S ribosomal RNA". It matches the Rfam family "Bacterial small subunit ribosomal RNA", at positions 338 to 524 of the family's 1533-position model. Lineage: Bacteria; Pseudomonadati; Pseudomonadota; Gammaproteobacteria; Lysobacterales; Lysobacteraceae. The record is from RNAcentral.